UAGUUUUGCAUAGUUUUUAAAUAUUUUUAAAUUUCAAAAACCUCUAAUUUGAUCUUUUUAAUUUUUAAAUCUUUUAAAUAUAUUUUUUUCCCCAAGAUUUUGGCUAUUUUUUUUACUAAAAAUUCCAACCGAUUAUAACCGAUGCUUAAAUGACGAAAAUAAAUAACGUGACAUUAAUCGAGAUGAUGUGGCAUAACGGAUGAAAUUUUUUAUCUUGAUGAUAUGG
This 226-nucleotide long non-coding RNA is filed under the name Elaeis guineensis (African oil palm). Its description in RNAcentral is "long non-coding RNA (EGUI_LNC033964)". Lineage: Eukaryota; Viridiplantae; Streptophyta; Magnoliopsida; Arecales; Arecaceae. The record is from RNAcentral.